UGGGGAAUAUUGGACAAUGGGCGCAAGCCUGAUCCAGCCAUGCCGCGUGAGUGAUGAAGGCCUUAGGGUUGUAAAGCUCUUUCAGUGGGGAAGAUAAUGACGGUACCCACAGAAGAAGCCCCGGCUAACUUCGUGCCAGCAGCCGCGGUAAUACGAAGGGGGCUAGCGUUGUUCGGAUUUACUGGGCAUAAAGCGCACGUAGGCGGAUUGGUCAGUUAGGGGUGAAAUCCCAGAGCUCAACUCUGGAACUGCCUUUAAUACUGCCAGUCUCGAGUCCGGAAGAGGUAAGUGGAACUCCUAGUGUAGAGGUGGAAUUCGUAGAUAUUAGGAAGAACACCAGUGGCGAAGGCGGCUUACUGGUCCGGUACUGACGCUGAGGUGCGAAAGCGUGGGGAGCAAACA
This 402-nucleotide ribosomal RNA is filed under the name uncultured prokaryote. Its description in RNAcentral is "bacterial SSU rRNA". It matches the Rfam family "Bacterial small subunit ribosomal RNA", at positions 355 to 774 of the family's 1533-position model. The record is from RNAcentral.